This is a long non-coding RNA of Oncorhynchus nerka (sockeye salmon), 503 nucleotides long. RefSeq lists it as uncharacterized. The record is from RefSeq and is a predicted model, not a curated record. Lineage: Eukaryota; Metazoa; Chordata; Actinopteri; Salmoniformes; Salmonidae. The transcript is spliced from 4 exons.
UAAAAAGUGUUCUCGCUGUGGCUGGGCGUUUGCGCUCACUCACCUUUUGUUGCCUGCGUGCCAUAUCCGUGGGUUGUUUGGCAUUGAAAGGGAGACUUUUCGGCUUGUGCUUGGUCCGCAGGUGGUCGUUUCUUAUGUUUACCUCCUUGACCCAAGGAAGUCGGGGGGUCUUUUGGAACUUGAGUGUCCUCGUUAAUUUCUCCCCCCGAGUCUUCGCUGGAGGAUGGGUCUAACAUGUUUACCAACACAGCAGCUUCUCCCUUGGUGAGCAGGAUGCAGUUCCAGGGACUCCACUCCCACUGGCAAUCCCACCUCACCAUUACCAAGUCAUGCAUGUCGCUCCACGCACUGAGGGCCGACUGGGCCCCCCACACUACAUCUACCAGUCUUGCGGAGCCUCCUGAGGAUGGUCUUGUAGUGGGAGAAGUCCUCGCGGCGGCGAGCCUCGUUGUCCAGCUCCGAACAACUGCGACACUUGCCUACCAGGCGAGCAUUGGCCGUAA